This 27-nucleotide microRNA is filed under the name Rhipicephalus microplus (southern cattle tick). RNAcentral's name for it is "rmi-miR-5336". The record is from miRBase by way of RNAcentral. Lineage: Eukaryota; Metazoa; Arthropoda; Arachnida; Ixodida; Ixodidae.
UUUGAUCUCAUUCGGCGCGGUUUCCUC